UGUUUUUGGAUUAAACCAUAACUUUUCCAUAAAAGUAGCUAUGGAGAAAUGGGGCAGGAAGAGUUCAGUUCAAACCCCUAUGAAAUGCAUGUGGAGUAUUGGUAGUGGAGGUUUCAGCAGCCUUUCCCCUUUCCAUGACUGACAUUUGGGGAUGAUUUAAAUCAUUGAAGUGACAUGGUGGGACAGAUUAACAUUGCCAUGACCCUGAUCGAGCCACUUUCAGGUGAAAUGCACCAUAGGACUUGAUGAUAGAUCCUCCAUUUCAGGUGUGGUUUGGUCCUUUGUCCAACCCACCUUCUGCUCAUCCUCCAAGCCUGUUGUUUCUUCAUGUGUUUUUAUCCAGAUAGUGAGCCUGAGAGCAGGAAGUGGUGAUCUCUCUCAAAGAAGCACAUCACACAGAACCUCAAAGAAACUGCAUGUUUUUGUUGUUGGAAACGAUCUAUGGGAGAGUUAAACACAUCGCUAAACCUCUCCCAGUGGCAUCAACAGAAAUUCAAACAUGCUGAUAGUGACCAGGACAGACUUUGGUCCAGUGGAGACUCUUGCUGGAAGAAGAAAAUGUCACUCGUUCCUUCUCCCCUGCCCUCCAUAGUGUGAUGCUUCCCAUGGUGUUCUAGAGCUUCCUCAACACCUUCUGGGACAUCUCUUCAGGAGGCACUGGGGAAAAGAGGAUUUGGCCUAAACCACUUCCUGCCCAUUUAAAUCAUAUGCUGGUAAACAUUUCUGUAGCACUUUUCAUUUAUAAAACAGUAAAAACCAUAAAACCUAAAACAAUUCAUUGAAAAACCCACCAGGGCAGCUGAUAAUGACUU
RNAcentral lists this long non-coding RNA (812 nucleotides) under Pogona vitticeps (central bearded dragon). RNAcentral describes it as "lncRNA (ENSPVIG00000005399.1)". The record is from RNAcentral. Lineage: Eukaryota; Metazoa; Chordata; Lepidosauria; Squamata; Agamidae.